GAAAUGGUCAGACAGGCCACUUCCUGUAAAGGAAUCUCUCAGGUUUUGACCUGCCAUUUGAGUUCUGUUAUACUCACAGACACCAUUCAAACAGUUGUAGAAACUUUAGGGUGUUUUCUAUCCAUAUGUAAUAAGUAUAUGCAUAUUCUAGUUACUGGGUAGGAGUGGUAACCAGAUUAAAUCGGGUAUGUUUUUUAUCCAGCCGUGUCAAUACUGCCCCCUAGCCCUAACAGGUUUUAAUGGAGCUUUAACCAGUAGGCCACUGGACUAAUGGAGCUUUAACCAGUAGGCCACUGGACUAAUGGAGCUUUAACUAGUAGGCCACUGGAUUAAUGGAGCUUUAACAAGUAGGCCACUGGACUAAUGGAGCUUUAACUAGUAGGCCACUGGACUAAUGGAGCUUUAACUAAUAGGCCACUGGAUUAAUGGCGCUUUAACUAGCAGGCCACUGGACUAAUGGAGCUUUAACUAGUAGACUAAUGGAGCUGCAAAUUAGACGAGGAAUCAGAAACAGAUUAAUUAGUAAAUGUAUUGUUUUUUCAUGCACUUACCAACUCAAAUGUGGUGUGGUGGCCUUCUGCUAAACUGUUAGAAAUACAAGGUAAAGAAUUCCAGUGAAAUACUAGGUGUGUGUUUUCUGUGCUUCCUGUAGUCUAAGCUGUAAGGGAGAAGAAGAUAAUUCACAUGGUGGAGGUGGGGAAACUGUCCAAGUAAGCUAAGAGUAAAACAGAGAGAAAGUCAUGUUAAAAUUUGCAAUUUCUAUUUAAAUCAAGCUAUUUGUAUUUUCAAUUGGGACCUAAUAUAUUUCAGUUCCAAAUAAUGUGAUAUUUCAUAGAUAAAUGUUAUGUUCCAAAUCGCAUACUUGUGUUCUAUGUAGAGCGUAUAGAAGUCAACUGUCAUUUUUCAAGUAUGAUUCCAAACCUAAGAACGCGAAACGGCAAGUAUGUACUAGGUUUGUGGGAAGUUCUAUUAGCAUCCUUAUAGGUCUGGAAAACAAAGCACACAUGGGAGCAUACAUUUUCAUUCCCUUCGCCGGGAAGGCUAUCCCAUGACACCUUGCAAAACAGCGAAAACUCCCCAAAAUUCUGAAUUGAUGGUGGACUGAAGUCCCUGCUUGGGAGAAAAUGUUCCAGAGGAAUAAGGAAUAACAUUGUAAAAUGUAAGUAUUACGUUUAUUUAUUCACAAAAUUGUGUUAAAAUGUUCAACAAAUGACUUUCAUAUGAAUUUUGAAUUCAAAUGUUGACUCACUGCUGUUUAUCAGCCCGCUACCCACGCUAAGUUAGCUAGCAGGCAAUCUCAUCCUGGUUAUCAGCUGUUUUAGGGAUGACAAACUAAUCGUAAAAUCAGCGGUGUCAAUUGUGAAAACCCAGACAGUUUUUUUUUAAUCCUGAACUGGUGAAUUUUCUAGCCAGCUAAUGAGAAAUGUAGCAAAUUGUUUGUUUUUUUCACAUUUGUUUUCAGGGACAGAUGGCAACUGAUGUGUUAAUUUCACUUCAUGGCUUUGGCAGGACAAAAUAGUCCUGGCCGACUGGUUUGGAGGUUGAAGCACAUCCCACCCCAUCACUCAGAUAGAUGUAAAGAAGUUGAGAACCUCCCAUCCACCAGGAAAAUCACCCUAUCCCAGGAGUUUAUUCAGCAGUAUAGCUUUUUCAAUGUUCAUCUCUUUCAUGUCCCCUCACUUGGGGAUGUUAAAAUGUUUUCUAUUCUACUGAGCCAUUUACUUCAUGUUCAUAUUAUCUUUUAUUUCUUAUUGUUGUUGCAUUGUUGAGAAGGAACCUGCAAGUAAGCAUUUCAUUGGACCAUGUUUAUCCUGUACAUACGACCAAUACAACUUUUGUACAAUGGACUGUGUUCUAAGGAUUCAUGCAGAUAAAGGUGAACCAAUAAAAGGGUUCAUAUUAAUUAAAAAUGACAAGUGUUGAUGUUUCCACACAGUUCUAGGUUUGAGCCUUUCUCAUCUGGGGGCUCCGGUUCAUCUGUCUAAGAGAAAGGCAUUAAUAAUAUUACAAUGGUGUAUUAUUUUAAUAUAUAUAUUUCUGUUUGAUAUGCAUGCAUAUAAACUCAGCAAAAAAAGAAACGUC
Salmo salar (Atlantic salmon) is the source of this 2082-nucleotide long non-coding RNA. RefSeq lists it as uncharacterized. The record is from RefSeq and is a predicted model, not a curated record. NCBI's taxonomy places the organism in Eukaryota, Metazoa, Chordata, Actinopteri, Salmoniformes, Salmonidae.